UAGGUUUUGCAAUGUAUGUGUGUAUGGCAUAUUGGCCUUCUCAGGAGUUGCUUUCUGGAUUUGUUCGCUGCUCUAUGGAUCUAUUAUUUCAAGAAAUGAUGAUAUACGGCUAGGUGCAUAUGUAAUGGAUAUUCUGGCCCGGAUCCAUUAUUCAUGCCACACUGGGGUGAGCUUCUCUCGAUCUUUCAGCGUAAUUGUGGUCUCUCUCUCACUGUUGCCAUAUGCUAUGGUUUUUAGUUUUGAUGGACUGAUUACUGAAUCUGGCUCCGAAGCAUAUAGAAUGUAAACUGAGUUUUGAAAGGUAUUCUUGUGAAUAGGUGAAGUAGAAAAUUGGGGUGAACCGAUGGAUGGCUUUAGUUUGUCUGUGUUUUCAUUCCGAUGUAAUGUAUUUAUCGACAGCUUCUUGGCCAAUACAUUUCCAAAUUAAUACAUUAAGUGGUUUUAUUGUUUACAGGGAACCUUGAUUCUUUUCCUUGGCCCAAUUGUAUUGUGCUUGCUUAGCUGAUCAUAGCUCUGCAAAACUAGGCCAAAUAUAGUUUGAUUUACUGGAAAACUCGCAUUGAAAUUAGAUAAUGGUUCCUUGCACACCACUUUGUUUUCUCCGGAUGUCAUAUAAUAAUAAUAGCUACACAGUUCAACAUGAUGCCAUAUAGAUCUUGAUAAAAUCAAUCUCCGGAAGAAUUUUUUUCUCUACAGAAAUCUAAAGGCAUUAUAUAAGCAUGUGUUAUUCUAAGUUUAACCAGAGAUGAACCUUUUCUAUUUGGAACAAGUAGCGAUGUUCAUGUAGUAGUGAUCAAGAUAAAAGUUUAUUCCUCUUUGUUUCAAGGGUGUGGUAACCUUUUCAUUCUAAGAGUUUUAUGUGCAGAUGCUCUUAGCCAUCAUUCUACUGUGCAUAUAAGAACAGGUUGUGGGUGAGGUUAUAAUGCCUGUGAGGUCAUAUAGAAGUUCUGUUGUCUAUUAAUUGAUCUGCUUGCUAUUUUAGUGUUCCUUAUCCGAGGUACUCAUCAUGUUGGGUAUACUCCUAAUCUGAUUUGCUAUUUGAUCAUGGUGUGCAUUGUUUGAUCAACCCUAUUAGUCUGAACAUCCGACACUACGUUGUUUGGAUGAUGGCACUUUAAUUUCCAGAAACUCGGUCUCCUAUUGUUCUCAUCGUGAUCUUUUUUAAUAUCUUGAUAUAAUAUUUGUUUCUUAUAUAUAUCUUAGGGUAGAGCAAAGUCUUUGUUUGAACCCUUCUACUCUAUCGAAAGGUUGAUUCCUAUUUGGUUGUUCAAUGGUAUUAACUAAUUAAGCUCCUUAACAGGGAUAAGUUAAUUAUAACUUCAUGUUUCUAUUUCCUUUGUCCCGUGCCAAGACACACCAAUUGUGAUAUAUUCGCUGAAGUUGGAGCAAGCAUAUACUAUUAUGAAUAUAUACUGAGCGAACACAUAGUGUGAUCUUUUCAGCUCAAGAGCUCUUACCAGACCAAUAUCUUUAUGCGCUAGACAUUGUCUACUGACAGUAUGUGAACAUAGUGAGGAUUGCUACCGGUGCAUAGC
Molecule: long non-coding RNA, 1535 nt
Organism: Lolium perenne
Lineage: Eukaryota; Viridiplantae; Streptophyta; Magnoliopsida; Poales; Poaceae
Source: RefSeq, a predicted model, not a curated record